This 953-nucleotide ribosomal RNA is filed under the name uncultured bacterium. RNAcentral's name for it is "bacterial SSU rRNA". It matches the Rfam family "Bacterial small subunit ribosomal RNA", at positions 338 to 1318 of the family's 1533-position model. The record is from RNAcentral.
CCUACGGGAGGCAGCAGUGGGGAAUCUUGCCCAAUGGGAGAAAGCCUGAGGCAGCAACGCCGCGUGUGGGAUGAAGGCCCUUGGGUUGUAAACCACUUUCAGCAGGGACGAAAAUGACGGUACCUGCAGAAGAAGCCCCGGCCAACUACGUGCCAGCAGCCGCGGUAAGACGUAGGGGGCGAGCGUUGUCCGGAUUUAUUGGGCGUAAAGAGCUCGUAGGCGGCUCAGAAAGUCGGGUGUGAAACCUCCAGGCUCAACCUGGAGACGCCACCUGAUACUGCUGUGGCUAGAGUCCGGUAGGGGAACACGGAAUUCCCGGUGUAGCGGUGAAAUGCUUAGAUAUCGGGAGGAACACCAGUGGCGAAGGCGGUGUUCUGGGCCGGAACUGACGCUGAGGAGCGAAAGCGUGGGUAGCAAACAGGAUUAGAUACCCUGGUAGUCCACGCCGUAAACGUUGGGCACUAGGUGUGGGACCCUAUCGACGGGUUCCGUGCCGUAGCUAACGCAUUAAGUGCCCCGCCUGGGGAGUACGGCCGCAAGGCUAAAACUCAAAGGAAUUGACGGGGGCCCGCACAAGCGGCGGAGCAUGUUGCUUAAUUCGAUGCAACGCGAAGAACCUUACCUAGGCUUGACAUGUAGCGAAAAGCCGUAGAGAUACGGUGUCCUUCGGGGCGCUACACAGGUGGUGCAUGGUUGUCGUCAGCUCGUGUCGUGAGAUGUUGGGUUAAGUCCCGCAACGAGCGCAACCCUUGUCCUAUGUUGCCAGCGGAUAACGCCGGGGACUCGUAGGAGACUGCCGGGGUCAACUCGGAGAAGGUGGGGAUGACGUCAAUCAUCAUGCCCCUUACGUCUAGGGCUGCAACUUGCACAUGCCCGUACCAAGGGCUGCUAUUCCGCGAGGAGGACGAACCCAAAAAACCGUCUCAUUCGGAUUGGAUUCUGCAACUCGACUC